GAUGAACGCUGGCGGCGUGCCUAACACAUGCAAGUCGAGCGAUUUACUUCGGUAAAGAGCGGCGGACGGGUGAGUAACGCGUGGGUAACCUGCCCUAUACACACGGAUAACAUAGCGAAAGGUAUGCUAAUACGAGAUAAUAUAAGAGAUUCACAUGGAUUUCUUAUCAAAGCUGAGGCGGUAUAGGAUGGACCAGCGUCUGAUUAGCUAGUCGGUAAGGUAACGGCUUACCAAGGCGACGAUCAGUAGCCGACCUGAGAGCGUGAUUGGCCACAUUGGAACUGAGACACGGUCCAAACUCCUACGGGAGGCAGCAGUGGGGAAUAAUGCACAAUGGGCGAAAGCCUGAUGCAGCAACGCCGCGUGAGUGAUGAAGGCCUUCGGGUCGUAAAACUCCGUCCUCAAGGAAGAUGAUGACGGUACUUGAGGAGGAAGCCCCGGCUAACUACGUGCCAGCCGCCGCAGUAA
This 468-nucleotide ribosomal RNA is filed under the name uncultured bacterium. RNAcentral describes it as "partial 16S ribosomal RNA". It matches the Rfam family "Bacterial small subunit ribosomal RNA", at positions 28 to 523 of the family's 1533-position model. The record is from RNAcentral.